GAUGAACGCUAGCGGCAGGCCUAACACAUGCAAGUCGAGGGAGAGGUUACCUUCGGGUAACCAAAACCGGCGCACGGGUGCGUAACGCGUAUACAAUCUGCCUUUCACAUAGGGAUAGCCCGAAGAAAUUUGGAUUAAUACCUAAUGGUAUAUAAGAGCGGCAUCGUUUUUAUAUUAAAGCUACGGUGGUGAAAGGUGAGUAUGCGUUCUAUUAGCUAGUUGGAGAGGUAACGGCUCCCCAAGGCGACGAUAGAUAGGGGUUCUGAGAGGGAUGUCCCCCACACUGGUACUGAGAUACGGACCAGACUCCUACGGGAGGCAGCAGUGAGGAAUAUUGGACAAUGGUCGGAAGACUGAUCCAGCCAUGCCGCGUGCAGGAUGAAGGUCCUAUGGAUUGUAAACUGCUUUUGUAAGGGAAGAAUAAGGAGUACGUGUACUUUGAUGACGGUACCUUACGAAUAAGCAUCGGCUAACUCCGUG
This 480-nucleotide ribosomal RNA is filed under the name uncultured bacterium. RNAcentral describes it as "partial 16S ribosomal RNA". It matches the Rfam family "Bacterial small subunit ribosomal RNA", at positions 28 to 507 of the family's 1533-position model. The record is from RNAcentral.